CCUACGGGGGGCAGCAGUGAGGAAUAUUGGUCAAUGGACGAGAGUCUGAACCAGCCAAGUAGCGUGAAGGAUGACUGCCCUAUGGGUUGUAAACUUCUUUUAUAUGGGAAUAAAAUGUUCCACGUGUGGGAUUUUGUAUGUACCAUAUGAAUAAGGAUCGGCUAACUCCGUGCCAGCAGCCGCGGUAAUACGGAGGAUCCGAGCGUUAUCCGGAUUUAUUGGGUUUAAAGGGAGCGUAGGUGGAUUGUUAAGUCAGUUGUGAAAGUUUGCGGCUCAACCGUAAAAUUGCAGUUGAAACUGGCAGUCGUGAGUACAGUAGAGGUGGGCGGAAUUCGUCGUGUAGCGGUGAAAUGCUUAGAUAUCACGAAGAACUCCGAUUGCGAAGGCAGCUCACUGGACUGCAACUGACACUGAGGCUCGAAAGUGUGGGUAUCAAACAGGAUUAGAUACCCUAGUAGUC
This 460-nucleotide ribosomal RNA is filed under the name uncultured bacterium. Its description in RNAcentral is "partial 16S ribosomal RNA". It matches the Rfam family "Bacterial small subunit ribosomal RNA", at positions 338 to 795 of the family's 1533-position model. The record is from RNAcentral.